CCUACGGGAGGCAGCAGUGAGGAAUAUUGGUCAAUGGACGAGAGUCUGAACCAGCCAAGUAGCGUGAAGGAUGACUGCCCUAUGGGUUGUAAACUUCUUUUAUAAAGGAAUAAAACGAGGCACGUGUGCCUUUUUGCAUGUACUUUAUGAAUAAGGAUCGGCUAACUCCGUGCCAGCAGCCGCGGUAAUACGGAGGAUCCGAGCGUUAUCCGUAUUUAUUGGGUUUAAAGGGAGCGUAGAUGGGUUGUUAAGUCAGUUGUGAAAGUUUGCGGCUCAACCGUAAAAUUGCAAUUGAUACUGGCAGUCGUGAGUACAGUUGAGGUAGGCGGAAUUCGUGGUGUAGCGGUGAAAUGCUUAGAUAUCACGAAGAACCCCGAUUGCGAAGGCAGCUUACUAAACUGUGACUGACAUUGAUGCUCGAAAGUGUGGGUAUCAAACAGGAUUAGAUACCCGGGUAGUC
This 460-nucleotide ribosomal RNA is filed under the name uncultured bacterium. RNAcentral's name for it is "partial 16S ribosomal RNA". It matches the Rfam family "Bacterial small subunit ribosomal RNA", at positions 338 to 795 of the family's 1533-position model. The record is from RNAcentral.